GAUGAAGAACGUAGCGAAAUGCGAUACUUGGUGUGAAUUGCAGAAUCCCGUGAACCAUCGAGUCUUUGAUCGCAAGUUGCGCCCGAAGCCAUUAGGCCGAGGGCACGCCUGCCUGGGCGUCACACGUCGUUGCCCCCCCAUCUACUCCUUCGGGAUUGCGGGGGGCGGAUGAUGGCCUCCCGUGCGCCUCGCCGCGCGGUUGGCAUAAAUGCCAAGUCCUCGGCGACGCACGCCACGACAAUCGGUGGUUGCGAAACCUCGGUUGCCCGUCGUGUGCGGUCGUCGCGCAUCGAGGGCUCGAAAAAAUUGCCGGGUUCCGGCUCGGCUUUCAACGCGACCCCAGGUCAGGCGGGGUUACCCGCUGAAUUUAAGCAUAUCAAUAAGCGGAGGA
RNAcentral lists this unclassified non-coding RNA (391 nucleotides) under soil metagenome. RNAcentral's name for it is "partial contains 5.8S ribosomal RNA, internal transcribed spacer 2, and large subunit ribosomal RNA". The stretch from base 1 to 122 matches the Rfam family "5.8S ribosomal RNA", at positions 35 to 154 of the family's 154-position model. The record is from RNAcentral.